UGAGGAAUAUUGGUCAAUGGACGCAAGUCUGAACCAGCCAAGUAGCGUGCAGGAUGACGGCCCUAUGGGUUGUAAACUGCUUUUAUAUGGGGAUAAAGUGGGGAACGUGUUCCCUUUUGCAGGUACCAUAUGAAUAAGGACCGGCUAAUUCCGUGCCAGCAGCCGCGGUAAUACGGAAGGUUCGGGCGUUAUCCGGAUUUAUUGGGUUUAAAGGGAGCGUAGGCCGUUUGGUAAGCGUGUUGAGAAAUGUAGGAGCUCAACUUCUAGAUUGCAGCGCGAACUGUCAGACUUGAGUGCGCACAACGUAGGCGGAAUUCAUGGUGUAGCAGUGAAAUGCUUAGAUAUCAUGAAGAACUCCGAUUGCGAAGGCAGCUUACGGGAGCGCAACUGACGCUGAAGCUCGAAGGUGCGGGUAUCGAACAGG
Molecule: ribosomal RNA, 424 nt
Filed under: Verrucomicrobiota bacterium
Lineage: Bacteria; Pseudomonadati; Verrucomicrobiota
Description: Verrucomicrobia bacterium partial 16S ribosomal RNA
Rfam family: Bacterial small subunit ribosomal RNA
Source: RNAcentral